ACCUUUGCUUUAUUUUAUAAUAUAUAUAUUUAUUAAUUUAUCGUUAUACAUAUCCAUUUAUUUAUUUUUUUUACAGAUUAUUCUUACUGUCAAUUACUUACACUCAAAAAAUUUAGUACACAAGUUAUUAAUAUAAAAUCUACUCUUAGCAAUAAAUAUAAACAUAUAUACAUUCAUAAAAAUAAACCAAUACAUACAUACAUACAUAUAUAUAUACAAUAAAAUACUUUAACAUUAUUUAUAAAAAAAAAAAAACAAUAAUUUAGGAACCUACAUCUUCAAAGCUUCCUGAUCAAACCUAUUAACAACGAAAUUAUGAUUAAAUUAGAAGACAUUCAUAAGAUUAUAUUAAAUUCAUCAAAAUGUUAUAUUUUCUUCUUAUCUAAUUAUAUAUGUAUAUGUAUAUAUAUAUAUAUAUAUAUAUAUAUUAUUUUGAUACUUAAUACUUGUAAUUUUUGUUUUUUUCUAUAUUUAGCAAACGUAACCAUGAAAAGCCAAAAUGUGUACAGCAUUGGAGUUAUAAUGUAUUUUUUAAUAUUUGGGAAAUAUCCAAAUUCUUAUAUGGACAAUAAAGAAGAUAUUUUUUCAUUCCCUUCCAAAUUGUUAGUCCUUUUUUUUUUUUUUUUAAUUUAUAAUACACUGUAAAGUAAAGAAAUAUUUGUUUUGUUUUGCAUUUAUUUUAAUCUUGUAUUGAUCUACUGUUUUCAACACUUUAUUUUUUCUUUUUAUUGCUCUACAUUGUUUAAACGUUGAUUUUUUUUAACAUUUUAAUAGAUGGGAAAAUGUAUCAAAAAAGGGGCAAAGUUUUUUAAAAACAAUUUUACUAAAUGAUUUAAGGUUAUUUAAAUAUAUAAAUAAAUAUAUAUAUUUACGCAUCGUUUAAUAUAUAUACAUAUGAAUUUGCAACUUUUUUUUGUAAAAAGUUCUAUGAUAACUUCUAGAGAAGCACUAGAUCACGACUGGUUUAAAGAAAAUAUGAAUCAGACUGUAUAUAUAAAUUAUGAUAUACUACAAAGUAUUUAUAACUUCUGGAGAAUAAAUACCUUUAAAAGAUAUAUACUUAAUAACAUUUCUAAGUUUUUAGUGAAAGAAGAUAUAUAUAAAUACACUUCUUUGUUUUUUUAUUUUGACAUAACGGAAGAAGGGUCAAUAAAAUAUACACAAUAUUUUGCAACUAUGAUGAAACUAGGUCUCAUGGAUGCCAAUGUAAGAACUACUGAUAUAUUUGAUUUAUUUAUUUAUUCAUUUAUUUACUCAUUCGUUUAUUUAUCCAUUUAUUUUUUUAAUUAAUUAUUUUAUUCAUUCAUUAAUUUUAUUUUUUUUUUUUUUCCAAAUUGCCCUAAUCCAAUGUAUAUUGUUUUUAAUUUUUCAUGUCAGAUAAAAGAAUCAUUUGAUGGAUUAGAUAUCUUAAAAAGUGGACACAUAGAAUUUAGCAGUAAAAAAUGAACAUUUUUUGUUGUUUAUUUAAACUUUGAAAAAUUAUUACAUUUAUUAUUUUGCAUAGUAAUAAUAAUAAAUAUCUUUUUUUUUUUUAGAUGUUAUAGCUU
Piliocolobus tephrosceles (Ugandan red Colobus) is the source of this 1547-nucleotide long non-coding RNA. The record is from Ensembl. Lineage: Eukaryota; Metazoa; Chordata; Mammalia; Primates; Cercopithecidae.